Molecule: ribosomal RNA, 253 nt
Filed under: uncultured bacterium
Lineage: Bacteria
Description: partial 16S ribosomal RNA
Rfam family: Bacterial small subunit ribosomal RNA
Source: RNAcentral
UACAGAGACUGCAAGCGUUAUUCGGAUUCACUGGGCGUAAAGGGUGCGCAGGCGGCCAAGUGUGUUAGGCGUGAAAGCCCGGGGCUUAACCCCGGAAUUGCACCUAAAACUACAUGGCUAGAGCAUUGGAGAGGGUAGCGGAAUUCACGGUGUAGCAGUGAAAUGCGUAGAUAUCGUGAGGAAGACCAGUGGCGAAGGCGGAUCUCUGGACAGUUCCUGACACUGAGGCACGAAGGCCAGGGGAGCAAACGGG